RNAcentral lists this ribosomal RNA (500 nucleotides) under uncultured bacterium. RNAcentral describes it as "partial 16S ribosomal RNA". It matches the Rfam family "Bacterial small subunit ribosomal RNA", at positions 30 to 523 of the family's 1533-position model. The record is from RNAcentral.
AUUGAACGCUGGCGGCAGGCCUAACACAUGCAAGUCGAGCGGAUGACGGGAGCUUGCUCCUUGAUUCAGCGGCGGAUGGGUGAGUAAUGCCUAGGAAUCUGCCUGGUAGUGGGGGACAACGUUUCGAAAGGAACGCUAAUACCGCAUACGUCCUACGGGAGAAAGCAGGGGACCUUCGGGCCUUGCGCUAUCAGAUGAGCCUAGGUCGGAUUAGCUAGUUGGUGGGGUAAUGGCUCACCAAGGCGACGAUCCGUAACUGGUCUGAGAGGAUGAUCAGUCACACUGGAACUGAGACACGGUCCAGACUCCUACGGGAGGCAGCAGUGGGGAAUAUUGGACAAUGGGCGAAAGCCUGAUCCAGCCAUGCCGCGUGUGUGAAGAAGGUCUUCGGAUUGUAAAGCACUUUAAGUUGGGAGGAAGGGCAGUAAGUUAAUACCUUGCUGCUUUGACGUUACCGACAGAAUAAGCACCGGCUAACUCUGUGCCAGCAGCCGCAGUAA